AUUGAACGCUGGCGGCAUGCCUUACACAUGCAAGUCGAACGGCAGCACGGAGCUUGCUCUGGUGGCGAGUGGCGAACGGGUGAGUAAUAUAUCGGAACGUACCCUAGAGUGGGGGAUAACGUAGCGAAAGUUACGCUAAUACCGCAUACGAUCUAAGGAUGAAAGUGGGGGAUCGCAAGACCUCAUGCUCGUGGAGCGGCCGAUAUCUGAUUAGCUAGUUGGUAGGGUAAAAGCCUACCAAGGCAUCGAUCAGUAGCUGGUCUGAGAGGACGACCAGCCACACUGGAACUGAGACACGGUCCAGACUCCUACGGGAGGCAGCAGUGGGGAAUUUUGGACAAUGGGCGAAAGCCUGAUCCAGCAAUGCCGCGUGAGUGAAGAAGGCCUUCGGGUUGUAAAGCUCUUUUGUCAGGGAAGAAACGGUGGGAGCUAAUAUCUCUUGCUAAUGACGGUACCUGAAGAAUAAGCACCGGCUAACUACGUGCCAGCAGCCGCGGUAAUACGUAGGGUGCAAGCGUUAAUCGGAAUUACUGGGCGUAAAGCGUGCGCAGGCGGUUUUGUAAGUCUGAUGUGAAAUCCCCGGGCUCAACCUGGGAAUUGCAUUGGAGACUGCAAGGCUAGAAUCUGGCAGAGGGGGGUAGAAUUCCACGUGUAGCAGUGAAAUGCGUAGAUAUGUGGAGGAACACCGAUGGCGAAGGCAGCCCCCUGGGUCAAGAUUGACGCUCAUGCACGAAAGCGUGGGGAGCAAACAGGAUUAGAUACCCUGGUAGUCCACGCCCUAAACGAUGUCUACUAGUUGUCGGGUCUUAAUUGACUUGGUAACGCAGCUAACGCGUGAAGUAGACCGCCUGGGGAGUACGGUCGCAAGAUUAAAACUCAAAGGAAUUGACGGGGACCCGCACAAGCGGUGGAUGAUGUGGAUUAAUUCGAUGCAACGCGAAAAACCUUACCUACCCUUGGCAUGGCUGGAAUCCUUGAGAGAUCAGGGAGUGCUCGAAAGAGAACCAGUACACAGGUGCUGCAUGGCUGUCGUCAGCUCGUGUCGUGAGAUGUUGGGUUAAGUCCCGCAACGAGCGCAACCCUUGUCAUUAGUUGCUACGAAAGGGCACUCUAAUGAGACUGCCGGUGACAAACCGGAGGAAGGUGGGGAUGACGUCAAGUCCUCAUGGCCCUUAUGGGUAGGGCUUCACACGUCAUACAAUGGUACAUACAGAGCGCCGCCAACCCGCGAGGGGGAGCUAAUCGCAGAAAGUGUAUCGUAGUCCGGAUUGUAGUCUGCAACUCGACUGCAUGAAGUUGGAAUCGCUAGUAAUCGCGGAUCAGCAUGUCGCGGUGAAUACGUUCCCGGGUCU
RNAcentral lists this ribosomal RNA (1352 nucleotides) under uncultured bacterium. Its description in RNAcentral is "bacterial SSU rRNA". It matches the Rfam family "Bacterial small subunit ribosomal RNA", at positions 28 to 1381 of the family's 1533-position model. The record is from RNAcentral.